Molecule: non-coding RNA, 10012 nt
Organism: Globicephala melas (long-finned pilot whale)
Lineage: Eukaryota; Metazoa; Chordata; Mammalia; Artiodactyla; Delphinidae
Source: RefSeq, a predicted model, not a curated record
UUCCGGCCAUGUGUGACCUUGGGCUGCGCAACCUUGGGCGACUGACCCCAGUUGUCCUCAUCUGGAAGUGGGAACAUCGCGACACCUACCCCUCCAGGGCCGUCUGAGGAGCGCGUAAAGCCAGGCACGUUGGGGACACGCGUGACAGAGACUCCCAUGAAGGGGAAGCAGUGUCCUGAUGUGAUGGGUCAGCGCAGUUUUUACAAAUGGAGAUGAGACCCUCUUCCUGGGUGCCUCCUGGUUUUCCCCAGUGACCCCCCUCCCGUGCCCAAGUUUUGACCGGCAGACCCAGGAGGUUGGUGGGAGAGGGGUGUCAGUGUCAGUCCCAGCACAGACUCAACCUUGCCUGUUACAGGAGACGGUGGGGGAGGGGAGGGGAGACCAGCAGCCCAGCACCUCCACCCCAGGCCCUGGCCCUCUGGCUCAGGCAAGCAGGAGAGACCAGUGGAAGGUGGAGGGUUUAUCUCACACACCCCUCCAGGGAGGGGCCUUUAUGCCCAGAUCCAGUUUCUGGCAGGACUGGUUGGUCCAGGUGGCCCGAUAGAUGGCCAAGAUAAGGUCCGUGCAGUUUGGCUGGGCUGAGCGGAAGACCCACGCUGGGCUAAGAUGGGGGAUGGCCCAGGACCGGCCUGACUCAAGGGUGGCAGGGGGUCUGGGCCUGUCUUGUCCCAGCUGCUGGCGCUUUUGGGGGCCACACGGAUGCCCUCUCUGGACCCCCUUCCCUGCCUGCAGUGAGAAGUGGCACAGAAAGAGGUGAUCCUGGGCAGGGGUGGUACAGGCCCAAGGUUGCCCAGGCUGGACGUGCUGCAGGUAAGGUUUGUACGGGCACAUGACGAGGUUCCAGAGCCACGAGCCAGGCAGACUGAGGUUGCCCGGACGUGAGGUUGUCGGGACCCCACGUUUCAGGUGAGCCCAGGCUUGGUUGUGUGUCAGACCUUCUGGAAGCCCCAGGGCUGGCUGGGCGAGCUCGUCCUCAUGGGCCGAUGGCGUCCUGCUGUCUGUAAAGUCACCACGCCCCAAAGAGUCCCUUCAUUAGACCCUUCCACCUGAGAGGUUUGAGUGUCACCUCUCUCCUGCCGGGACCCUGACCAAUAAACCUCUGGGGUCUCACAGCCCUAGGGAGCAGUUGUGGUCACCACACUUCCUAGGGAGGAGCCCCGUGGGGACGGCCAUGGAAGGAGCCCUUAGUCCCCGCAGACAGGACUUCCCUCAUCUCAGCACAGACCUUGGGAAAGGCAGCCCUCGGAUCUGCGUGGAAAAUGGGGUUUGCGUGCAGGAAGUAUUUGAAGGAAGUGGUCCCAGGGAACAAGGGCGGGGUGGGGGGCAUGAAGCCGGGCAAGGGGAAAAGCCAGCCAGAGGAGGUGCUGUGGACCCACCGUCAGUGGGGUGCAGACUCCACCGAGGCCAUCUGAGAAACCUCGAGGGACGUGCUGAGAACCGUCCACCCCAGGGACAAAAGGGGACAUAGCCAUAGGCUCCCCUUCCACCGCAUGGACAAGGUGAGGCUUAUCCACCAGCCUUCGAACUUUAGGGUUCAUGUACACAAGUGCCCAGCAGGCCCUGCGGGCAUCCUCGCGCUGGGUCAGAGCAGCUCUGGGCAAGAGCGAGCUGGGCCACCAGCCGGCAUCUGCACAGGUGGGCCGGUCACCACAGAGCCGUGGCUGGCCUGAGCUCGGCCGGGAGGACUUGAGGUGGGCCGCCGAGGUGCCCAGGACAGUUAAAAAUAGCGUGUAUUCAGGGGAAAUGUGAGGUUCAGUAAGGCCACAGAGCAGGAGAUGACUGCCGUUGGAAAGGUCAUUUCUAAGCACAGUCCCAGAGGGGGGGCGCCACGCCACGCCACGCCGAGCCACGCGGGAAAGCACGGGGAGGUUAGGAAGUGGGGGGAGCCUAGAACCGGGGACAGGAGACUUUGCUGCGGUCUCUGCAGGAGGGAUGGGCGAGGCAGGGCGAGCAGGCUGACCACUGGCUGGUUUGAGUAAUUUCAUGGGCCCUGGGACAGACGGGCUGCCGCAACUUGCCUGGUACCUGACCCCGGGUGACUCAGGCAGGGGGACGGUGGCCCAAGGGGGAGAACCCGAUAGAGGAGGUGUUGGGGCUGUGCCUUCUAGAUUGGUUGCUUUGCAUUUGAAAGUCACCCUCUUGGACCGGUGGGUGGGUUACACUCUGCGGGAAUCGGCCAGUCCUGGGAGGGGCAGUCCCUCCAGGGUCAGAGCAUCAAACCCAAGACACGGUUCCUGCAGUCCACCCCUCACCCACCUCAGCUCCGCUCGUGGCCUCGGUGGCCCAGGGUGGCCCAGGGUCCGGUUCAGGGUGGGAGCCGGCCCGGAGCCCCGACAGGCCUUAACUAGCCCCUCCUGCUGCACCUGGUCCCGAAGCUGAACCCUUUCUGGGUUCGCCUCAUCUUCGGCCAGCACUUGGGUGGCUCUAGGUUCGCCUGGUGGGGCGACCGGGGCGUCUCCGGGGCUCUGAGACCUUAGUCACCUUGCCCCUGUCAACAACUGCCCCGUGGUCACUGUCACCAGUUCGAGGGACAAGAAGCAGCCCCAGAGAAUUUCGAGUCCCGGAGACCCUCGUCCCUGGCCCUCCUCUCACACAGGUCCGAGCUGCCCCCCCACCGGCGUGGUGGGACUGCAGGUUCACGGGAGAGCUGCUGCGUCCCUGGCCCCUCCCGAACAAGGACCUCAGACCUGGCCAAGCCUCCGGUGUGGGGCAGGGCCAGGAGUUCUGCAAGAGGGUGACGUCGGGACGGACGGGCCUCCUUCCUCCGCCCGCGGGCUGUGCUCCGGUGACGGGGCCAGCACCGCGUCCACGGGACUGGACCCCAGCCCUCAGGAUGUCCCAGGACGGCGCCAGGGCUAGGCUGUUCCUCUUUAGAUCAGCUGCUUCUGAGUGACGUGAACUCGAGUGCGGCCAGUGGGCCUGUGGCUCUGUUCCCGUUGUCACCUCCUUGUGGUCAAACGGUCCCUGGUCUGAGGCAGCAUCGUGCAGGACACGAGGGUCCAGCUACCGUGGUCUUUGCACAGUCUACACCGACGUCACCCUCCUGCUUCACACCCUUCUGUGUCACCACUGCUCUUGAGAUCAAGGUGGGAACAAUCUCUGCUCGUCACCACCGUCGUGCCUGUCGCCCACAGGGCACACAAAUCCUUCCUGCGUGAGUGAACGAAGUAUGGCGAGUCUCUGGGGAUGACAGUGGCAACAGGGUGACGGUGGACGUGGUGGUGGUGACAGUUGAGGGUGAUGCUGUUGGCGAGGAUGGACCACCUUCCUCCGCACGUGCUGGGCCAGUGGACACCUGAGCGGUCCCACUCGAGGGUGGAGCACCGUCGGGGCUGACCCGUUCCCACGGCGGCAAGCUGAAGAGUCCACCCCACGAUCGGAGCUGCCGGGGUUCCUGGCCUUCCCACAGGUGUCGGGAUUUCCUUUUCCUUUGAUCCGGCUGUACCCGUUCAGUAGUGCCCCUCCCGGGUUCAACUCGCUUUAGCUGGGAUGGACUUCUGUCCCUGGGGACCCGAGAACCCUAACCAGUACAGACGGGGCGACAGGGGUGAGCUGAGAUGGAGCCCACGCCGCCCCGCUCUCCGUGCCAGUUCCACCUCCUCUCUGGCUUCUGAACGUCUGUGGAACGUCCUCCAUCUCUGCUGACACCUGGCUGAGCUCGUCCGUUCCAGGCCUUUACGUGCCAUCGCAUGUGCUGAGUGAUCUUGAUUCCUCACCGCUGGUCCUGACCUUUCUCCUGAGCCGCAGCUCACGGCUGACUGUCAUGCGUGUCACACUCAGCAGGCCCCAGCUGACUUCUUGAUUUCCUCUGCACAGUUGUCCCGUCUCAGAGAGCGGACAGACGUCUCGGAGAUGACCCGGGCCUGUCCACAGCUCCUUCCCACUCCCUUCAGCAGAGGCCGCUGCCUCAGGGCCUGCGCGCUUGCUAACUUCCCUGCAGGGAACACUCGCCCCAGACCUUCCUCACCUUCCGGGAGAGGGGGCUUGUGAAGGCUGAGCCCAGGGCAGGGCAGAGGGCGCGGAGGGGAAGAGAGGGAGGAGUUCUGGGUGAUUCCCCGCACCCUGGGUGGGCAACCGGGUGGCCAGAGGGACCACCCCUGAGAAGGGGCCCGGGAUGGGGGUCAGACCUGGGGAGGAAGAUGCCAAGUCCGCGUCUGGCACGAGGAGUGGGCAGCAUCCAUGGGCCGUCCAGGAUGCCGCCCAGCAGAUCCCUGAGCUGCAGCCCAGGGCAGAAGUAAGAUGGAGAGGCAGUGCCGGGCUAUAGUCCUCGGUCUGGGCAGCACCCACCCUCCUGAACCAGCCGGGCCUGCUGGGAGGAGAUCCAGCAGCAAAAUUCGUGGCUGUACUAACGCGAACAGAGACGGUGCCACUGACCGGGCUCACGGAGAAACGCAGACGCACUCAGGGUGGAUGCUUCCGCAAGCCAGCCUCUCCCAGCCGGCCACUGGCAGCCAAUUGAUAAGCCUAAUUAAUAAUUAACUUUUUAAUUAAAUACCAAUUUAAAACAAGUAUGGGAACCAGUCUCUGGCAAUUAACACCCUUGCUCUGCUUUCCUAAAGGGACUCAGUCCAAGGCCCAGGCUCUGGGAACUCUUGGGUGGGGAGGGCAACCCGGGACCCAGCAGAGUGGGGAAGGGGCCCGGCCCAGCCUGCUCCACCCCGCCCCAGAGCCGCAGGGAUAGCUUUCUCCACCCAGCGGUCACCGCCCGCGCCCUGCCCUCAAGGAGCUGGUGUCUCGAACGCGGGGCAGAAGAUGCUCAGGAACGUGCGAGUGGCGAGAAGCUGCUUCCCGGGGUCCCAAAGGAAGGAGAAACAGGGCCACAGGAAGACGGCUCCACUGGCCGUGACGGUGAAGAGUUGGAAGGACACUCUGGCGUGGGAGCUGCGCGGCCAGAGGUGUGGUGGUGGGGAUGCCCGUGCAGUACUCAUGGCUGCUGGGCUCCAGGCACCUGGCAGGGGACAGCGUGUUCUAACCAACCCCACGUGCUGGGAGCUAGAACCUGGUCUCGCCAGGCUCGUCCACUGGUGCUGAGGAAAGAUGGCCACACACGCGGUUCUCCACGGCAGCGGUGCUCUGGUUGACUGUGGCAGCCGAGGGGAGAGUGACGAGCACCGCUGGGGCGGCUCCAGGGCUCCCAGGCGCGUCUUCCCCUCCCGGAUCCCAGGCUUCGGGAGCAGCUCUCGUGGCGGAGAGGCUGCCUGUAAGAGCUGGUAGAUGUGUGGGAUGCCUCUUAGAACUUCUGUUGGGACGUAACGAACGUCGCUCUGCCUUACAUCACGUGGUCAAGGCCAGUGUCGGUGGAAUGGGGAUGGCACUCCUUCAGGAAGGUUCUGCACAUCCCGGACAACACCCAGAGAGGCACAGUCCUCUUGGAAGAGAGAAUGGGCAGCUACGGUGCGCUGCGGGGCCCCUGGUUCUCUAACCGCAUUACCUUCAGGAUGGAUGGGUGACAGCGAUGGAUGGGCCGCUGGAGCUGGAUGGCCAGUGACCGAGUCUUUUCUCUGACUGGCUUUGAAGCAGGAAGCCGCCGUGACAGCCGAUCAGUGUUUCCCUGGUCCAGCCUCUGAUGAGAACCCAGCCCUGGUCUCCAUCUUGCUUGGCAACCGUGUGGGACCGUAAGCUACACCGCGCCUAGGCUCCUGACCACAGACCGUGAGACAGAAACCUGUGUGCUUCUAAGCUGCUGAGUUUGUUGGGAUUUCUUUUUUCUUUUAUAUAUAUAUAUUUUUAUUUAUUUAUGUAUUUAUUCAUUUUUGGCUGCAUUGUGUCUUCACUGCUAUGCGGGUUUUCUCUAGUUGCGGCGAGCGGUGGCUACUCUUUGUUGCGUGCGUGGGUUUCUCAUUGUGGUGGCUUCUCUUGCUACAGAGCAUGGGCUCUAGGCGCAUGCGCUUCAGUAGUUGUGGCACGUGGGCUCAGUAUUUGUGGCAUGCAGGCUCAGUAGUUGUGGCGCACAGGCUUGGUUGCUCUGCGGCAUGUGGGAUCUUCCCAGGGCUCGGACCCAUGUCCCCUGCAUUGGCAGGCGGAUUCUUAACCACUGCGCCACCAGAAGUCCCUGUGGGGAUUUCUUACACAGAAUAGAAAAUCAGUACGGGGUCAGGGAGGGGGGCUGUUGUAUUGUUAGUUAUAUAUUUGGCUAUCUGAAAUAUUUCAUAAUUUAAAUUAAAAGGUUAUGAAAGAUCCCAAUGGCUGAAGAGACAGAUCGCAGAGCACGAGCUGGAGGCCGGGGGGGUCAUGAGGAGGCCAGCGUGCUGCUGUGUGGGUGAGGGUGGAGCUGGGCAGUGUAAGGGGGCUCAGGGAAUGUGUAGAAACGUCCCCUGCAUCCCUAAAUUCUGAGGAAGGGGAGGGGCCGUCCCAGCGUCCCCGCCACGCCUGGGAAACCUGGAUCACAGCCCUCCCCCCAGGUCAGCACAGCCCAAUCUGGGGGGAGGAGCAGGGAGAAGGAAUAAGGACGGCAUUUUCCCAGGGUCCCCUAGGGAGCCCUGCAGUGUGGGCUGGGGGGACAGAUGGAGUGGUAGGAGGAGGCCGCUGGGCUGGGUCCACCACGUCCGUCUCCUGGGAGAAGACCCCCGCCCCCACUCCAGCCUGCAUGCCAGGGGGAGCCAUCCCAGGGAGUGGGAGCCCCAGCCCUGCCUGUACUCAGUGUCCACAGCUAUACAGGAGGAUGAUCUGAGGGUACCCUGCCCACUUGGGGGCCGGAUGGGAGGAAAUGCUGAAAGCACCUGCUGAACAGCCAGGGCCGUCCCUUCGGCCCUCCCAUCCCUGGCAGCCUUAGGUGCUGUGGGGAAGGAAGAACAAAGAGGUCCCCAAACACCCUGGGCUUCUAGGAGUAGAGACGGGCAUCAGGGCUCAGUCUGAAGCCCACUGACUGAAAUGGCAUUAGAAGGCAACCUCCUUGUUGGGUGAGCUCUCCAAGGACUGAGGAACCUUUGCCUUCCCCAUAUUAUCCUUGUAACAACCUUGCAAAGUGUGGUCUUGUUUUACUGGUGAGGAGUCAGGAUUCAGCGAGGCUAAGCCACUUGCUCAAGGCUGCACAGCAAGAGAGAGGCAGCUCUGUAUGCCCCACAGUCAGGCCUUGUCCUUCGGUGACAUUGGUUAGGAACUAGGGAGCUCUGAGGGGCUGAGGGGAGGGAGACUUCAUAUAAGGCUUCCUCUCAUAUCUUUGGCUGGGGUUUUGAAGGAUGAAGAGAAGUUCUCCCGGCAAAUCUGAAGGGGAGAACAUCCCAGGGAGAGAGACCAACCAGGAACAAGGCAGAGAAAAGAAAAAAGGUUUUGUGAAUGAUUAUUUCCUACAUUACAAAAGUGGCACAUAACACCUUAAAAUAUUAGCCCAAGUUUAUAAAGUGAAAAGUACCCUCUCACCACCCCGGUCUCUCAUACUUCCCGGAAGUAACCACUGUUAUUCAUUAGGCAUAUGUCUUCCUGGGUUUUUUUCUAUAUGUACACAAACAUUUUUUUUUUUUUUUGUGGUACGCGGGCCUCUCACUGUUGUGGCCUUUUCGUUGCGGAGCGCAGGCUCCAGACGCGCAGGCUCAGCGGCCAUGGCUCACGGGCCCAGCCGUUCCGCGGCAUGUGGGAUCUUCCCGGACCAGGGCACGAACCCGUGUCCCCCGCAUCGGCAGGCGGACUCUCAACCACUGCGCCACCAGGGAAGCCCCAUACACAAACAUUUUUAAAACAAAAAAUCAUACAUUAUAUAUUGUUCUGCAGUUUGCUUUUUAUCCCCCCAAAGAACCCUGCAGUUUAGCUUUUAUUUCUAGUGUGUCUGUGAAGUGCACCUGAGGAGAGCUUGGAAUUUCGAUCAGCAUUCCCACAUAUGGCACAUGCCAGCAGCUGUUUCUACUAUGGCAGGCCUUUUCCAUUUUUCUGAGAGGAGAGGUGAAAAGUGGUACCUCCUUGCGAAACGUGCAUGUACUUGAUUCUUUCUGAGGUUGAGCUCCUGUCCAAAUGUUUAUCAAGUGUUUAUUUACAUGUCUAUUAGGAAGGACCUGUCUGUAUCCUUUGCCUGGUUUUCUCUUUUUCUUGACUGUGUGUGUGUGUGUGGGGGGGUCUUUUUAUUAUGUACUGCAUUUUUGUAUUUUGAGUUUUUGCAUGUUUGCAUAAUUGCAAAAUUAUCUCCCAUUUUGCAAGGAUUAUCUUUAAAUAUUACUUUUUAUCAUUAAUGCUAUUAAACCUCGUUACAGAAAACUUGGAAAAUGGGGAGGAAAAGGAGAAAUCAUCUAUCACAGAGCUGUCACCAUUUGUUAGCAUUUGGUGACAGUUCUUUUCCCACAUGCUGCAAUGACUCUUGUCAUCGUGUUAGACACUUGUAGCCCGUGACUCGGCUCUAAGAGCGUAACCUUCAGGAGGCAUUUUAAAGGCUUUCUCGUGGAUGUCCUAUAGUUCCCUCACCUGUCUCCCUUUUUUAUUGUGGUAAAAUACACAUAACGUAAAUUUUACUAUUUUAACCAUUUUAAAGUGCACAGUUCAGUGGCCUUAAGUACAUUCACACUGUUGUGUAGCCAUCACCUCCAGAACCUUUUCAUCUUCCCAAACUGAAACUCUGUCCCCAUCAAACACUAGCUCCCCCUCCCCCUCUCCCUGUCUCUAUGAAUCUGACUGCUCUUGGGACCUCAAAUAAGUGGGAUCACACAGUAUUUGUCUUUUUGUCAGAGUCGUUUCACUGAGCAUAAUGUCCUCAAGGUUCAUCCAUGUUGUAGCAGGUGUCAGAAUUUCCUUUCUUUUUAAAGCUGAAUAAUAUUCCAUCGUAUGGAUGGACCACAUCUUCUUUAUCUGUUCAUCUGUUGAUGGACACUUGGGUCGCUUCCACCUUUUGGCUACUGUGAACAGUGCUGCUGUGAACAGAGGUGCAAAUACCUGCUCAAGUCCCUGCUUUAGGUCUUCUGUGAAUGUACUCUCAUCAUGCCCUUUUUCUGAGUAUUUAGGUUGUAUCCAGUCUCUCCGUUUUGUAAAUAAUGAUGUCCUGAACAUCUCUAUGUCAGAGUUUCUUGUUAAAGGUAUCUGGAAGAUUACUCAGCAUUCAAGUCUUGGAAUUGGAAUCGUGAUCUCAGAGUUCAUUUCAAACACGUGAUCCCAGCCAUUAUCCCACCACUCCCUCCCUGCUCCAGAAGCUUUGGCAUCUUGUGUGUUCAACAAUUUUUCCUUUUUUCUCUUUGGUUCCUAGAAAGGACAAACUUAACCUUGAGGUUUGCAGUGUUCCUUUGCCAUUUUAUCUGUUGGGGAACCAACCUGGGUGAUCCAGCUGUUUUUCCAGAUAAAGUUUGGAAUCAUUUCGUCAUUUUGCCUAGAAGCAAAACAAACCCAGUGGCCUUGUGAUGUGCCGGCCGUGCUGUCAGCACAGGACAGCGCUGUGGUGUCGUCUUCCCUUCAUCCCAGAUGUUUGGGAAGCACCUACCGCCAACCCAUGAAUGACCACGGGGACGGGAGAGGGACGGGACGGUCGCCACCCUGCUCUUCGGAACCUGAGCACCUUGCGCGAUGCCUGGCCGGGGCUCCUCCAGUAACGCUGGCCCGCAGAAGGAAAGAACCCCGGCCUGAGAAUCUGCGCGGGACCGCCCGUGAUUGUCUCUGCCCUCUGCGCCCGGCCUGGGUUCAGCGCUUUCAGAGAGGGAGCCAGUGGAGAGGGUGCAGGCCGAGGUCCCCGAAGACCUGCCCCCGGAGCCGGGCACGGGGAACGGUCAAGUGGCCCUUGGCGCCGAGGAAGCCCCGCGAACUUGGGGCAGCUCAGACCGCCCAAGUCUCCCAGUCCUCGUGAGAAACAAGAGCAAAUAAAUUACUUUUGCCUCUACUCCCUCCUCCUUCCACGACGCGGUUUCCUGCGUGUGUCCCUUGCCCCCAGUCUUCGUAAAGUUGUCCUUUCUGCUCGCCAAACAGUUAUCCGUGUUGGAGGCCCCACCUGGGAGGCCGAGGCAGCCCCCCCCCAGCCCAGGGAGCAUCUUCACAGUGACGGCCGACGGGCCCACAGGUGAGGCAGCGUGGGGCUCCAGCUGGGCUGGCAGGGCAGCGUCAGUCUCCG